UACGAAGGGGGCUAGCGUUGUUCGGAAUUACUGGGAGUAAGCGCACGUAGGCGGAUAUUUAAGUCAGGGGUGAAAUCGCAGCUCAACUGCGGAACUGCCUUUGAUACUGGGUAUCUUGAGUAUGGAAGAGGUAAGUGGAAUUCCGAGUGUAGAGGUGAAAUUCGUAGAUAUUCGGAGGAACACCAGUGGCGAAGGCGGCUUACUGGUCCAUUACUGACGCUGAGGUGCGAAAGCGUGGGGAGCAAACAGG
This 250-nucleotide ribosomal RNA is filed under the name uncultured bacterium. RNAcentral's name for it is "partial 16S ribosomal RNA". It matches the Rfam family "Bacterial small subunit ribosomal RNA", at positions 524 to 776 of the family's 1533-position model. The record is from RNAcentral.